Long non-coding RNA from Anopheles funestus (African malaria mosquito), 265 nucleotides. RefSeq lists it as uncharacterized. The transcript has 3 exons. NCBI's taxonomy places the organism in Eukaryota, Metazoa, Arthropoda, Insecta, Diptera, Culicidae. The record is from RefSeq and is a predicted model, not a curated record.
AAGGUGUCUUGGCUAAUGUGUCUUGGCUAAGGUGUCUUGGCUAAGGUGUCUUGGCUAAUGUGUCUUGGCUAAUGUGUCUUAUCUAAUGUGUCUUGGCUAAGGUGUCUUGGCUAAUGUGUCUUGGCUAAGGUGUCUUGGCUAAGGUGUCUUGGCUAAUGUGUCUUGGCUAAUGUGUCUUGGCUAAUGUGUCUCGGCUAAUGUGUCUUGGCUAAGGUGUCUUGGCUAAGGUGUCUUUUCUAAUGUGUCUUGGCUAAUGUGUCUUGGC